GGGGAUGACGUCAAGUCCUCRUGGYCUUUAUGUCCRGGGCUACACACGUGCUACARUGGUCGGUACAAACCGUCGCAAACCCGUGAGGGGGAGCUAAUCGGAAAAAGCCGGCCUCAKUUCGGAUUGGAGUCUGCAACUCKACUCCAUGAAKCUGGAAUCGCUAGUAAUCGCGGAUCARAACGCCGCGGUGAAUACGUUCCCGGGCCUUGUACACACC
This 217-nucleotide ribosomal RNA is filed under the name uncultured bacterium. RNAcentral describes it as "partial 16S ribosomal RNA". It matches the Rfam family "Bacterial small subunit ribosomal RNA", at positions 1175 to 1391 of the family's 1533-position model. The record is from RNAcentral.